This 43293-nucleotide long non-coding RNA is filed under the name Malus domestica (apple). RNAcentral describes it as "long non-coding RNA (MDOM_LNC002328)". Lineage: Eukaryota; Viridiplantae; Streptophyta; Magnoliopsida; Rosales; Rosaceae. The record is from RNAcentral.
UUCAUCACAUCAAUCCAAAUAUACAAAACAAACCAUAUUUCCAAUAUGCACGUCAAAUCACAAUUAAUAAACAUAGAUCGAUGCUAAAAAUAAAAAUAACACUUCAAUAGAAAGCACAUUUAAUAAACAAGUAUAACUCAAUAUGGUGCCACCAAUACAUAUAUCGAGACACACGUCAACCGAGAACGACACGUCAUUGUGAUAAGCUAACUAAGUUCCAUCAAGCCUCAACAACAAACUAGAGAUAAACGACACUCUAGAGUAUAGCACGUUGACUAGAACGUCAACCGUCGAUAAGGUAAGUCCAUUAAGAUCAACAAUCUAAGGUUAUUCAAUCCGGAAGAUCCGCACAUCGGAUUUCCAAUCCGUAAGUUCUCAAAGGUCCAACAAUUGAUAACUAGGGUGCUCACAAAAUUGUACGACGAUCCACGAUCGAAUUGUCGUCAAUACAAACAAGUGGUGGUCCAAUUUGAUCACCACAACAAACAAUUGAAUUUCAGGAAACCGAGCUAGACGUAGGUUCAUAGGGUCACUAGAAGGUAUUUGGAACUUAGACAACACUCGUGGACGGUUCCACGCACCUCUACACGCGGUGGUAGCCAAGGUGGAGGGUUUUGAAAAUCUGAAUUUUCAACAUUAACUAAAUAAGCUCAAAUUUACGUGGUAGCUAAAGCUCAACAAGGGAAACACUUUUCAAAACUCUAAAAUGAAUAUGAAAGUACGAACCAAGCAUACCAACUUGAAGAUUAUGAAGAGUAGAUGAAGUUUCAUACCUCACUCGAAGGAAAUGGUUGCCGGAAUCACCGGAAAAAUGACAAAAUCGCCGGAAACCCACGGAACUUUGCUGUCUAGAACUAGAAAAAUGGAUUAAAAAAAUUGGGAAAUCUAACACUACAGAGAUGUAGGGUUCGUCAAGAGUUUUUCAUGGACACCAAGAUCACCCAAAACGAAGAUCGGAUGAAGGAGAUACAAGCGAGUCAAGUUUGUGGGUUAACGAAUCAAAUUCUCCCCCAAAAUGAGUUAGCAGCAGCCCCCCCCUCCCCCCCCUUUUUUUUUUUUAAGAAACCUUCCCCCUUUUUAAUUUGAUUGGUCAUCUGUUCAACCUUUACUUCUGAUUGGCCACAAAAGCACAUACCUCUUUGGGUUUUUUCCCUCAAAGUGAGAGUUUAAAUAAUUUCUAAAAUUUAUAUUUUAGUAACACAACUUCAAACGUCCGUAACUAUACCGUUAUAAUCCGGACUCGCAAAUGGAUUUCGCCUAUGCAUUCGUGGUUUCGAGAUCUAUUCGAAAAUAUAAAUUGUAACCUCUAAAGGUCUACGAAUUUUAAAUAAUUACUGAUCAAAAUUCAAACUUCGUAAUUAGUUUAAUUAAAAUCUAAAGUUAAUAUAAAUUUCCAAAAAUAAUAUAAAUUCUCCUUGAUACCAAUACAUAGUUUGCAAUAGUGAAAUCCAGGAACAGAAUUUCACACAUUUCCACCCAAAAGAUUUCAAACUUGACAGUCCAGAAAAUCAGAGCACCUUUUGAUAAUCCUAUCUUUACAGGUUUGCUUGCUCGCUGCAUCAAUGAAACCGAUAUAUCUGUUAGUCCCAUUACACCUACCAGAAGAUUACAGUUAUGUCGCAAAUGAGAGAAGUGAGAGAAAAGCAUCAUCCAGGAUUUACCUCGUCAUGCAGGAGAAUCAUACAUAUCCACCCCAAGUAGUUCCACAUUAUCAGACUACAAAUAAUUCACUCCCCUCGCCGCUCUCCUGUAAUUUCAUCGGAAUUAGACUCUGAAACUCUAAUUUAAGCUGGAAUAUUGCUGAGGACAAUCAAUUUAAUAAUAAAUAAAUAAAAGUACCUGGCUUUUGUCUUGAGAGUUGAGAGUUGAGAGUUGGAGAGAGUGAAAUGAAAGCUCAUAUGAUGGUGAUUUCAUCAUCUAUGUUUAUGCAAGGAAUGCGAGCUAUGUUUCUCCAAUCUUUUCCCUUCUUGUUCCGAUACUUCUUCUUCAGAGAAGGACAACCCUCGAUGCUCAGAUAAGAAAGAGAUGCCGGCAAACCCUCUUUUGGCAGGAAUUCGAGACUCUGGCAGCCUGAAAUUUCUAGCUUUUGAAGAGAAGUAAGGUGCUCAAGUCCCUUUCCGUCCAAAGAUUUCAGAUUCCAUACACCACAGAUUUCGAGAUGGUGAAGAGUGGCAGGGAGCAGCUGUUCAUUGAGCAACGUCUCCACCAGAUCCUUGCUUACUCCGACGAUCCCAAAUGAUUGUAGGUUGGGAGGCAAACCCCCUUGUGCAAAUGACACCACAUUUGGAAGAUUGGCUAUCCCCAAAUCUUGAAGGGCGGUGAGGGUGUGCAUGCGGUCCGGCAACAACUUCAAAUUGUCACAGUAUAAGACUUGAAAGGAAGUGAGGUUGGGAGUGGGCAAUCCCCCGUCGGGAAAAGAGACAAGAUUUUGACAUCCAUUAAUAUCCAGGGAGUUGAGAUGGCUGAGAUUUUCAUCUGCUCCUCCUUCAACUGAAAGAGAUUCCAGAUUCUCACAAUUACCGAUAGAAAGAGAUGAAAGGUUGGGGAAAAUGCCCAAAGGGAACGACCUCAGAGAAUCACAGCUGUCGGAUAGACUCAAAGACUGAAGGGAAGUCAAUGUGGCCAUCAUCUCACCUGAUAGGAAUUCUAAUUUCUUGCAAUUUUCUAUACCGAGUGACGUCAGCGUGGUGGGCAGACCAUUUGUAGGGAACGACAAGAGUGAGGAACAUCCCCAUAAUGUCAAACUUUGAAGACGAUUGCUGUUGUGCAUCAUUUGCGGCAACCAUUUGCUUCCACCAACACUACCAAUACGGAGCAUCUGAAGCGAUGGCAGCGUCUCCGUCGACUCUAGUAAUAAUGAGAGACCCGGGCAUCCCUUUAUUGUCAGUUCUUUAAGAGAUUCCCGUAAGGAUUCCGCGUUCAGGGUAUUACUGGCCCUGUUUUCAUGUAGAACCUCACAUGCCAAGACCUGAAGUAUUUUCAAGGAAGGAAGACGAAUGGGCAUGUUUCCUCUCAGCUUCGGACAUGAGAAUAACCUCAGCUCCUCAAGACGAGGAAAGUCUGGACUUUCACCUCCACUUGGACUUGGCUGCCAUUCCUCCCACUCUGGCAUCUCCCAAAACUCUAACUUCUCUAAACAUUGAAAUGGUUGAUUUCCGCCGUACAACUCAACACCAACACUCUUAACAACUUUCAUCCUUUCUACGUAGAGCUCUUUCAGAGCAGGUAGCUGACCAACUGGUGGCAAUGAACUGCAAUUACCACAGUCACUGAGACGCAUCACUUGUAAGUUGGAGAAGGACGAGUCUCCCACCCAAUUCGGGAAACUGAUUCCGCCAUAACACCUGAUGGUUAGCUUCACCAAAUUUACCGAAGGUUGAAGUCUUUCGAGCACAUAUCUCUCUUUUACGGAAUCAUUGGAAACCACACGACCCCAUGACAACUCUACCUCGUUGAGAUCUUUCUUAUCCUCCAGCAAGGCAUCAAUAGCACCGACUACAUUUUGCAGAUUCAAGAUAGAAAUUUUUCUUCCAAGGUGCGACAACUCCCUCAAUUCUGCAAUGCUUGACCCAGAAGAUUUCCCCAACACAAAAGCUGUCAGUGUUCUCAAACUUUUUAGUCUACCCAUAUGCACAGGCAUCUCUUUUAUGUUAGUUCCACCAAUAUCAAGAUGACGCAAAUGAAUCAAUUUCCUCAUGUCUGCAGGCAAUUCAACAAGAGAAGAACAACCGAACAACAACAGAGUUUGUAAAUUGUAGAGGGUACACACUGUAUCUGGUAACCUUUUAAUUGUCGUAUAAGAGAGAUCAAUGUAGCGCAAGUGUAUGUGGUUACCAAUGGAAUCAGGUACGUGAGUGAUGUUUUUGUAUCUUGACAAUGAAAAUGCUCGUAAAUAUUUUUGUGCUGGUAGUAAAUCAUCUAGAACCUUGUUGCUUACAUAUUCAUGAUCCCAACGGUAAUAUGGUGCUAAAGACGCUGGAAAGAAGGUACGCAAACACUUGACUCCUUCUAGUGGCUCAAAUUUUGGAGAUGUAUCAAAUUUUCCUCGCAUAUACGACAAGUGGCGAACUCUUUUAGGAACUUCAUGUGAAUUUUUCUGAUCCAACCUUAAACAAAACUCUCCAGACACAAACAUAGCCAAGUCAUUGAUAAGAUCAUGCAUUGUGAAACUUGGUUGAUCCAAUCUUGGUCUUUGAAAUAGUGACCGCGAUAACAGUUCGUCAAAGUAUCUUUCACCAACCUCCUCCAUAGCUUUCUCGUUCUUUGCAUUAGGAAUUAAGCCUUCUGCCAUCCAUAGUGGAAUUACAUUCUCUUUUUCAAAUUCAUAGUCUUUUGGAAAAAUUGAGCAAUAAGCAAAGCAUCGUUUCAAGUAAGUUGGAAGAUAGUGGUAGCUCAAUCUUAGAGAAGGAAGAACACUAUCAGCAUGCGGUAGAUCCCAAAGAUUGCUAUUCAAUAUGUGAUUCCAUUCCUUGUAGUCUAGGUUGCAACUUAAGAGACCCCCUAGCGUUUUUGCAGCUAGAGGCAAACCGUUGCACUUACGUGCAAUUUGCUUACCAAUUUCAACCAAGUUUGGAUGUUCAUAGGGGUUUUCAUUUCUAAAUGCAUGUUUUGCUAGUAACAACCAACAAUCUUCAUCUGACAAAUUUUCUAAGUUGUGAAUAGGAAUAGUAUUGUGCACAAUGGAUGCAACACGUCUACUCCUUGUUGUUACAAUGACCUUGCUUCCCUUUGCCCCAUACGUGAAAAGAAUUCGUAGACGCUCCCACUCAUUAUAAUUUUCAUUCCAAAGGUCAUCCAAGACAAGUAAAACUCUCUUUCCCCUCAGCUGUUCCCUUAGUUGAACUUCAAGGGAAUUCAUCUCCAAAUUGUCACAAGGCUUUUUAGUGAUUUCCUCAAUAAGGGUCUUAAUAACCCUCAAACCCUCAUACUGUUCGGAAACACAAACCCAAGCAUGAGUAUCAAAGUGGUCUUUAACUUGUUCAUCAUUGUAAAGGAGUUGAGCAAGAGUUGUCUUACCAACCCCGCCCAUUCCGACUAUAGGGACUACAGAAAAAUUACUGCUACUUUCAUUGUCAGAUAGCAGCAGUAGAGAUUUUAACUUUUCUAUAUCGCCAUCCCUUCCAUAGGUACAAAAUUCGUCCUCAACAACAGAAGUUGUGGGAGUUCUUUGUGAAACAUUGCCCCCAACACCUCCUCUAAGACCGAGGUUGUCUUUUUGUUUUGCAAGGUGUUCCAACUUGUUGAACAAAUCUUCUAUUCUACGAUUCAAGGAUUUAUAAUGAAAAGGAUUAAGGGAGGUAGAAAGGAUGUCCCGCACCUGGAUUUUCUUAGUCUGAUCUUUGGCCUUGCGACGCAAAUCUUCAGUAUCAAGCUCAUCCACCAAGUCCUCGGCAUCGAACACAGCAUGUUUGAGCUCGUCUAGCCACAUCCCGACGGCAGGGUUGACGAUCUGCUUCUCCUCUGCAUCGUUGAGCACUGCAUGGAGGGUCAUCAACGUCACCUCCAGUCUGUCCAUGAGUGAAUAGUCGAGUCUUCUUGCCCGGAAGAAGUCCAUGAACUGUCCGGAGGCAAUCUUGUCGCACAACACCUUGAUCGAACCGGAUAGCAAAGCCUCUCCAACCAAAGCCAUUUUCUCUUCUUGGCUAAAGGACUAAUUUUGAUCAAGUAUUUGGAGUUGAAAAACUGAAAAUUAUUCUUGGCAAAGCCUUUUAAGAUUACUUCAUGACGAGAGAGACGACUUGAUAUUUUUCUUGGUUAAUAAUGCAGCGGACCACACACGGCAAACAUAAAGUAGAAAUUAGUAGAGGUUGGAAAACGUUACCGAUCCAACAUUAAUUUAUUAAUUAUAUUCCUUCAUAAAAAAAUCGUUGUUGGUCAUGAAAAUUGGUGGAGUUGGAAAACAUUACAUCAAACAUUAAUUAAUUUAUUAUUUUAUUACAUAUAUAGAUGACAUUAUUUGAUUUGAGUGCAUCUUCACAUGUGAGACAAAGUCAAAGAAAAUAGCUCGGUGAAGAUGAACACAAUUCAAGAAUUCUAUCUAAUCUUAUCAGAACAUCUCAUGAUUCCCAUAUACUGGCCAAUGAUAGAUCACAAAUAUUAUACUUUACCUAUAUCAUCGAUUUCACAACAAAUCCAAUUUAUUUUUUACAUGUUUUCAAGAACUAUUUUAAGAAGUGACCAGAUGGGCCAUAGUGAUUUUCGAUUGGACAAAGCUCAUGGGUUAUGACAAACGCCCAGUUUCUACGCUAACAGUUUGAAAGUUGGAAGUAUGCAGAGUUUGUGAAACCAAGGGCUUUGUUCUCCUGCACAUGGAAAAGUAAAAGAAAAUGGCUGAGACUAAUCUCAAAUUGUUAAGUCGUAAAAAAAUAUGAAAAUUUCCAUUGAUGGAGCGGCGUAAAAUAAAAAAAAUUUAAAAAAUGCUGUAAUUGGAUCUCAACAUUUUUCCCUUGUCUUACUAAAAGAGUAGAAAAAAUCAUCGCGGGUAGUAGAGUGGUCAAGGACGAAGUCUAGGUUUAUAUUCCACACGACACGUCAAGAGUUCAAUUCUUGAUGCUGGUGAAUCACACAAUAGUGGUUAUGGGAGCUGAAAUACCUCUGCAAGUCUUCUCGGCACCCAAAAAUGUGAACCGCAGUGCCACCAGCUGAUUCCAUUUUUAAAAAGAAAAAAAUAAAAUAAAAGAAUAGAAAACGUUGGGGUAAAUUAGAGCAAGACUAUGUGCUUUAUGUAUUCGAUAAUUGAUUUUUUUUUUUUUUAAAAAAUAGAAGGCAAUAGUUUCAUUAAAACAUACUAAUGUGAUUUAUUUGAUAAUUGAUAAAUAAAUAAAUGAAAUGUGCUUUGUUUGCCUUCCAAUUGUUGUAACGGUCACAUUUGGAUCUUUGACCCAUAUGAUGAUCAAAUGGCCUCCACCAUCCUCUUGUGAUGAUUGAAAUCUCCAAAACCAAAUCUUGGUACUACUCUGUGUAUUCUACUCCAAUUCCAAAGGCUCUAUCUUCAUCUUCCUAUUAAAAGAAAAAUUAAGAAAUUUUCGGACGUGACUUCAACGCUAUGUAGCAUUUAAUGUUACGAGUGUAUUAGUUAUCAUAUUUAAUUUUCACAACUAUUACAUUUUAUAUUUUCUAUUCUGAAUAUUUAUUUUUUAUGACACUCAGUACUAUAUGCUUUUUGAAGAAAAAUGGAUUGUACUUUUUCUUGCUUUGCCAGUCUGCCUAUGUAUUCAACAUUCAUGGAACCAUUCAAGUUUAGGAUUUGGUUUGCAUCAGCAAUGCGCUUCAUCAUGAGGAAUUUAAUUAUAGGAGAAAUUUUUCAGUGUGCCAAAAACACUACUUGGUAUAUCAAGUGUAAUAAUGUAAUUAGUUGGAAUUAUUUUCUUUUUCAAGUUUCUAACCCAAUUAUCUUGUUACACUUAGAAUAAUGAACUGUGUUCCUGACGUAUUGAUAAAUCUCUCCACAUAUGAGGGGCCUAAAAUCUAUCAGUCUAGUUUCUAUGCCAACCAUGCCCCUUUUCUUAAGUAUACUUAAUCUUUAAUUUUCUUGGGUUAGCCAAUUUUGAGUCAAGGUUAACAUGUUUUUUCACAAAACUAAUUAAGAAAACACUCUAGUUGCGUAGUUAUAUUGUCAAAUUAUCGAAUUUGAUACUAUAAAAUUAUAUAAUCAAGUAUACGUUACCGCUAUUUAUAUUAAAUAAACACUGUAAUACUAUAACAUACUAUAUUUCAUGAUGAACAAAAAAUUUCCUUCAACGCUAAACUCAUGUUUAAUAUUGAAAUUGUUAUUGAAUAAUGAGGCACGACUUGCAAUAAACCUCACAUACAUUAACAAUUGAAAAUCGUUGAGACCCACUCUUCCAUGUUAUUAUGUUGACAAAAUGUUCCCAGACCAAAAAUAUACCAUAAAAUUCCAUGAUAUUGAUUCCACCAACACGCUGUCGUUUAAGGUCCCUCCCAAAAGUCCCUCAUAACCGUUGCAAACCCACUCUCAGCAUAAAUAUUCCUUUCAAACCGACCCACGCGCCCAUUUUCCAACCGUUUAAACCCCACUCCCUCCCUCUCUCUAAACCUCCAAGAACUCUAUCUCUCUCUCUCUCUCUCUCUCUCUCUCUCUCUCUCUCUCUCUCUCUCUCUCUCUCUACAUGUUUUCAAUCAUAAUCUGCAAGUCCUUUGCUUUUGCAAAGAAAAUCCAAAACCCAUUAGUUUCCAUCCAUCUGAAAUCGAAAUCUCCGCCUCCAUGGCUCCAAGAAAGCUUCUUGAUUUCUGGGUCGUCGUCUUCUUCCUCAUAGCCCUCUUCCUACGCCGUGGCUCCGCCGAGAACGUCAACAACUACUUCCCCUCUUUCAACUUCCGAAACCUUACCGGCCUCACCCGCGAGUUCACAGUCCCCUCUUCCAGCUCCGGCGCCGUCAUAUACAACAACCCAAUUCUGUUCUUUGACCCGGAAUUCAAGCUACUCGAAUUUGAAGCCCGAAAAGCCGGUUUUGAGCGUAGAGAUCGAUCUCUCCGAGCAUCUGAAGGAGGUUAUGUUCGUGGGUUUUUUGGCCUAGACGGAAGGGAGCACGGAGAAGCAUCUGGUUGAGAAUUGGAGCUUUCAUACAUGCGGGUUCGUUGCGAAAAGGCCAAAGCUACAGCCCCACAAUGUGUCUGAUACUUAUGUGGUGGUAAGUGUAAGUCCGAGAAUUCCAUGCUAGGACCAACCAAUUAAUAGGUGUAUGAUGUAUAAUAAUUUGCAGAGUUUAUUUUCAAAUGAAAAAUUAAACAACAAAUACAAUAUAUCAAGAUAUAAUCACUUAAUGAAAUUGCUUAUAAAAUUACAAAUCACUGACUUGUUAUUUGAGGAUAGAGGCUUGCAAAAGCAAUCUCCUAAGAUAGAAAUUCGCCCCUACACCAAUGCAGUAGAUCAGUGGACGUCUAUCUUGGAGGAUACAACUAUCUAAUCCAAGUUCUUGCACACGAACUUAGAUUCUUGGCGAAUUGGUUGUGGUGUUUCUUUUUGGAAUAUGGAAAAAGGAAGCGAUGGAGUUGAUUGAUUUGUUUCUCAUACUGUAGCCAUAUAUACAACAGGUAUUCAUCAAUUUCCUUCCUGAACUUGUAACUAUUGGCCAAUUUCCCCCCUCAACUUUAAUUUUUGCCAAUUUCCCCCCUCAACUCUCAUAAUUAGUCAAUUUGCACCAUACUCUAAUUUUUUAAUUUGAUCAUAAUUAAACAAGUGUGUGUAAGAAACUAAAUAAGAUGUAUGUUAAUCAUUUUCCUAUGUCUUUAUCCUAUUACAAAUAGAUUAAAAUUUAGAAUUUUACAAUUUAUCAUAGAUAGUAUUAUUAGUCAUAAUAAAUCAGUAUGGAGUAAUUUUAUUUGAUUUUUUUAUUAUACAAAAUUGAUAACGAAAAGGAUUGAUGUGUACAUUUUUGUAUGUGAAUACAAUUUUCUUUAUAAAAGUGAAAGGUAAGUUCAAGUAAAUUGCGAAGAAUCGAGCUUUAGUGCAAAAAUGGCUAGUCAAUUCAUAAUUUUCGACUCCUUAUUAAGAAUAACCCAUUUUAUUGAAAUAUGUCUGAUCCAUGAGUUUAGGAUUAUUAUUUCUUCUUCUACAUGCUUUAAACCCGAUUCAUAACUUUUUCUUAUAAUCAACCCAUAUCACAUACUAAUUGUAUUAUGUUUUUGUACAUUUUAUCCUAUAUUAUGCAGGUGAGUUUAUGUUAAUUUUAGUACUUUGUUGGAAGUUAUUAGAAAGAUUGAAAGAAAAAAAAAAGAAUAGAUGGAAAAUUAAAAAAAAUUAACAGUAGGAUGCAAAUUGACUAAUUAUGAGAGUUGAGGGGGGAAAUUGACCAAAAUUAAAGUUGAGGGGGAAAAUUGGCCAAUGAUCACAAGUUCAGGGGGAAUUGAUGAAUACCUCUAUAUAAUGGCAAUUUGAUUCGUUUCAUACUGUAGCCAUAUAUAUAAUAGCAUUCGUGAACAGAUUAUUCAAACUUAUCCUUUUAGAUAUAACUUUUAAAAACUACAUCCUUAAAAUCAAACCUAAGGCCAAUCUUUGACAUUUAAUACAUACACCCAAACCCUUCAAAUUUAAGGUCUAAGGCUUUAGUCCAGUUUCUUUCAAACUGUAAGUAUGAAAACACACUUAUAAAGAGGACUUAAAGUAGGGAAAUGGACGAUAUGGGACUGGGAGUCCCACAUAAUCACAAGUUCCAACAUUCCAGUGUCCGGUUCGGGAGAUAAGCACCACAGGCGGCUCGGCUUAGGACUUGGUAUUGCUGGGCUUGCGUUCUUUUGCGUGGCGCUGUUGGUUUUCGGGUAUGUUUCCGUGACGAAAUGGAUGGAGGUGAGAAGACAGAAGAGCUUCAAAGCAGAGGUUGUGGCAAGUCUGAGAGAGUUUAGUUACAAGGAGCUAAAAUAUGCCAAUGAGGGUUUCAUUCCAGUAGGAUUCUAGGGCAUGGAGCUUUCCGGUCUGUUUACAAGGCGUUUUUCGUGUCUAUGGGCACCAUUUCUGCGGUGAAAAGAUCCAAGCAUUCCAUUAAAGGUAAAACUGAAUUCCUUUCUGAGUUGUCGAUUAUUGCUUGCUUGCGCCACAAGAGUUUAGUUCACCUUUAGAGCAGUUCCACCGGAGCAAAAAGAGGCCAACACCUAGUGGAAAAAACAGGCUGGGACUCAGCCAAUCCACUCCAGCCCGUGUGUUUGCCUGGCACCCAGCCCAAGUUGGUCUCCAAGCCAGCCCAGAAUUGACAGACCUUGGGACUGGCCUAGCUAACGCCAGCAUGACAUCAGCCACCUUGGGACUGGCCUGUCUCGUUCCGGGGGGUUCAUGAUUUCGCACACCGCCAACAGCGCUGCGCCCAGUCCAUCCACGAUGCUGGCCGAGGGGAAAUAUUCCAGCUUCAAAGACGGCGCAUUUCUUUCCGUGGUGGUCUCCAGCUUGAACGCUACUGCCUUGUCCUUCAAAAGCUUGCCUCAAAAGUUGAGGGUCUGGACCAAGUCGAGAAUCUGGACCCUCUGGGAGACGAUCUGGUGAGAAGUGAGCAGCUUGGCCACGGAGGGAUAUGACAACGAUGAGGAGAGAGGGGUGGAGAGGCAUCUCUGCGGCUGCUCCAUGAGGAUUUUGAGAGAACAAGAGGAAGGGAGAUCGGAAGGAGCGGUGAGGAAGGGAGGGUUAUAGUGGAACCUGACUUAUCCUUUUUUUUUUUUAAUAAAAUUAUUAUUUUUAUUAUUUUAUAAUAAAAAAUAAUAGAGUAAAUUACAUAGUAGCCCCUCAUGUUUGAGGUCAAUUACAACCCCAUACAACAACUUUAAAACAUUUCACUUUCAUACAUCCAGUACAAUUUUAUUUCAAAAUAAAACCUCUGUUAGAUUUUCCAUCCAUUAGUCUGUUAAAUGCUGACGUGGCUGCCACAUUUGUGCUGAUGAGGUUGCCACGUGGCAAAAAAAAAAAAUUUUUAAUUUUUUUUUAAAAAAUACCUAAAUCUUCUAAAUAAAAAAAUAAAAACCCAGAAUCUGAACAAAACCCCACCCCCGUGAACCCCCCUUAGCCUUCUUCUUCCCUGCUCCCAUCUUCCCCCACCCCAUACCUGCACCUUUGAAGGAAAAAAAAAAACCUGAGAACAACCCAUAUCCCAUAUCCCCGCGAAACCCAUACCCCAUACGACCACCCCCCAACCCAGAUCCCAUUACCACGCCCCCCCCCCCGACGCGAAACCUAACCCAGAUCCCAUUACCAACCCUCCGGCGCGAAACCCAUAUCCCCCCCGAACUGCAAGGACGUCAUCCUCACCCGCAUCAUCUUCGUCGUCGAAGACGACAACGAGCAGGAAUAGCAAGGCGACGAUGAGAAAUCCCGGUCGACGGUGAGAUCGGGUGGUGACGAAGGACCUUCGUGAGGAGCAGAGGGAUCAGAGAGAGAGAGCUCUGCGGUACAGGCCACGAUGCAACGCAUGACCCAAAUUCACCGCCACGGAGACGACCAGAACGUUGAGCCCAUUCCGACCCAACCCCCGACCCUCAUCCCACUCUCCUCACUCUCUCUCUCAAACCCCAAACCCUCCAGAUCCAAAACCCACACAACUCUGCCGGGUCACCACCGCCAACGCCUUCCUCCUCAGCACUUUGACCCUCCUCCCACUCUCCUCACUCUCUCUCUCAAACCCCAAACUCCCCAGAUCCAAAAUCCCCACAUUCUUCUCGCUUUCUAUUCGCCCCAACGCCAAUCCUAUAUCCAUCACUCUCUCUCCUCCUUCUGCUUUCUCACUCAUUUCUCUCCCUCUCUGACUCUCUCUCCGGCAACCCCCCCCCCCCCGGCGAACCCCCCAUAUCCCAUUAACCCCUUCCCCCACCCCCCUCGCGAACCUAGAUCCCAGAUUUGUGCAUUUUUUUUUUUUUUGCUUUUCUUUUCUGGGUUGAGAUCCCAUUAACCCCUUCCCCCACCCCCGCGAACUCAGAUCCACACAGUUCGGUGGUGUUGGGAUUGGGAGUGGGGAUGAAGAUGGUUAAGGGAAUGAUUUUUGGGAGGUGGAAUUUGUGGGAUUGGGUUGCAGGGAAAAGGUGAGGCUCGGGUUGGGGGGAAGGAGGAUUUAACGGGAAUGGGUCGUCGGGGGAGGGGGGGAGGUGGGAUUUGAAGGGAGUGGGUCGUCGGGGGAAUGGGGAUUUAACGGGAGUGGGUCGUCGGGGGAAGGGGGAUUUGACGGGAAUGGUUCGUUGGGGGGUGGGGGGGAGGAGGAGGUUGCUGCGCUAGGUUUCUGGGGGGAUUAAUGGGGAGGUGGGUUUGGGAUUAAUUGGUUUCUGGUUUUGGGGGUUGCGGGUAAAGCUUUCAGGUUUGUUUUUUUUUUUUUUUUUAAAUAUUUAGAAGAUUAGAUUAAAAAAUUAAAAAUUAUUUUUUUGCCACGUGGCAGCCUCAUCAGCACAAAUGUGGCAGCCACGUCAGCAUUUAACAGACUAAUGGAUGGAAAAUCUAACGGAUGUGUUAUUUUGAAAUAAAAUGGUACUGGAUGUAUGAAAGUGAAAUGUUUUAAAGUUGUAUGGGGUUGUAAUUGACCUCAAACCUGAGGGGCUACUAUGUAAUUUACUCAAAAUAAUAAUAGUUUAAUAAAAUUGACUAGGCUAUUUUUUUGUUAGGGUGGAGAUGCUUUGGCCUAUUACUGUUUAUUAGGGUCUAUUACUGUUCAUUUGAGUGGAUAAAUAGACUGGGUGCUGGCACAAAGUCAUUAGGGGUGGACUUGCUCUCAAGGCUGGUGUGUUGACAAGGGUGAAUUGCUUCUUGUUUACGAUUUCAUGCCUAAUGGAAGCCUCGAAAAGGCACUGUACCAAGAACCCGGACAAAGUACCUUGUUAGAUUGGUCUCGGAGACUGAAAGUUGCGGUUGGAUUGGCGUCUGUUUUGACGUAUCUGCAUCCGGAAUGUGAGCAGCAGGUAAUCCACAGGGACAUAAAGACUGUCAAUGUAUUGCUGGACGGGAAUUUAAACGCAAGGUUCAGUGAUUUCGGGUUGGCAAAGCUCAUGGAUCACGAUAAAAGCCAUUGUCUUGGUAGCUAUUGCAUCGGCCUUUUGGCUGGUCCAAUUUUAGGUACUGCUGGACUAAGUUCCAAUAUGCUCAUUGCAGUCCUCUUGCCCCGAAAGCAUCAAUUAAACAACAGCGGAAUGUGCUAAACUCUAUUCAGUUAUAUUGUUAAAGGAGCAAUUUCCCUUCUGCAAAAUGUAAAAUGCCCUCAGUUACCUCCUAUCAAAACCAAAAUACUUGUAAUAACUGGUUUUCGUUUCUCCUUGCAGAUUUCUAAAGUCCAUUUGUGAACGGUUUCUUGAGCAGGCGACACCCUUUCAACUCGAAAUGUAGCUGAAACGAGUACAACUUUUUUCGAUGUAUAGGAUUCCGUCGUAAUUGUUAUCUCAGAUAAUUUGCAGAUUGAUUGUAGUUAAGAAGAGUAACAAGUUCCAUUGGCAGAUAGGCAAUUACCUGAGCUACUCAGCAAAUAUAGCACAUUUUCUACGUGGGUUACAAAAGCAGCUCACCACAAAUAUAUACAAAUUUAACUACAACGGGAUGGUCCAAUGGUUGGGAACGAGUUUUAGACUCGUAUUCUACACAACACGUCCCGAGUUUGAUUUCUGGCGUUGGUGAAUCACAUGAUGGUGACCAAGGAAGGCUAAAAUGCUUUUGAGUCUUUCCAACCCUCAAAAUGGUGGACUACCAUGGCGAAGCCACUGGCAUUCUAGAAAGUGGUGCCAAAAAGCCAUGCUCUCUUCAACCAUUGUGUUUGUAGAGAAACAUAUGAGUAUAUACACCUACCUCAAGAUGACAGAGGCAUUGAAAGAUGAGUAAGCAUUCCGCCAUAUGGAACCACAGCAGUACAUAUGAGAGAAAAAAAAUACAUCAUCAAGGAGUUACUUGCAUCCCAUGCAGGGGUAAUCAUAUAUGCGAGAGAUUGCCGCCGCACCAAUCAACUACUAGUAAUAUGCAAGCUAAAACCGGUUGUUAUUAUAUUUGAUGAUACCGUCCUGAAAUUCAAAGAAACACGUAAAUGUUAGGGGAGAAAUUAAAAAUAAGAGAGAGAAGAAAGGGUAGCAUAGUUAAUCGGUACAGUUCAUUAGUUUUCUCUCUGGGCAGAUGAAGUCCCACAUACAUUCAAUCUUUAUAUAGAUGUUGACAAGAGCUGAGGUCUGCAGGUCCCUGUUCAAAGUCCAUUUCUGUCCAAAGACUUCAAACUUGACAGUCCAGAAAACCAGAGCACCAUUUGAUAAUCCUAUCUUUACAGCUUUACUCUGUUUGUUCGCUGCAUCAAUGAAACCGAUAUACCUGCUAGUACCAUCAAAUUGUCCUGACUUAGGAUAUAGUUGAAUUGAACUGUCAAAGAAAAAGACUGAUAUAUAAAAUGCAAUGUAGACAAAGCAAACUGAAGAUAGAAAAAGUGAGAGAGAGUAAAUUACAAUUUACAGCUGAUCUGCAAUGUUCCACCGGUGAAAUCCUCCUUAAUAUAUAUGCAAUCUAGUAAUGCAACGUACGUACUGGCAUUCAAGCAAGUACAGCCAUGAGGCACUCUUCAACUGUUGUGUAAGUAGCGAGAAACAUAUCUCCAGUGGACCUACCUGAAGAUUACAGUUACAGUGAAAGAUGAGAAAGUUAUGCCUCAAAUGAGACAAGCAUGAGAAAACCCUCACAUGCAGGAGAAUCAUAUAUAUCAGACUACAAAGAAGUCACUCCCCUCGCAUUCUCCUGUAAUUUCAUCGGAAUUAGACUCUGAAACUUGAAUUUAAGUAGGAAUAUUGUUGCUAAGGACAAUCAAUUUAAUCGUACCCAAUCAAUUUAAUAAUAAAUAAAAAAUUACCUGGCUUUUGUCUUGAGAGUUGAGAGUUGAGAUUUGGAGAGAGUGAAAUGAAGGCUCAUAUGAUGAUGACUUCUCCAUCGAUCUUUAUGCAAGGAAUGCGAGCUAUGUUUCUCCAAUCUUUUCCCUUCUUGGUCUCAUACCUCUUCUUCAGAGAAGGAAAAUUCUCAAUGCUCAGAUAAGAGAUGCCGGAAAACCCUCUUUUGGCAGCAAUUCGAGACUCUUACACCCUACAUUUCUGGCUGUUGAAGAGAAGUGAGGUGCUCAAGUCCCUUUCUGUCCAAAGAUUUCAGAUUCCAUACAUAAGAGAUCCAGAGAGUGUGAAGAGUGGCAGGGAGCAGGUGUUCAUUGAGCAAAAUCUCCAGCAGAUCCUUGUUUCCUUCGCUCCGAAAUUAAUUGGCUCCUGUAGGAAGAUUUCGUAUUAACCACCCAACAUCAAAUGUACUUAAAAGUAGUCAUUACAGAACAAAGCACACUAUGGUUCAUGAGCAAACUGAAAAGUAAUCAUUACAACUUAUGACUAUUACUAAGAUUAAAGUUUUUUAGGGUGUCAAAGAUUCACCUCAUCAAAAUCUUGUCGGAGAUUUCAACCCAGUUGAAGAAAAAAGAGUACAACACACCAACAAAUUACAAGUUAUGACUAUCUAGCUUGUAUUAAUUAAAACAUCCAAAAAAUGUCCAGGUGAGUCUUCAAACUAUAGCAACUCUUAAUAUCAUGCAAGUCUAUGUGCAACAUUUUUGGGCCUCUCAUCUCACAUAAUAUUGGAGCAAACGCAGAAUAAUCCUUCUCCUUUUGCAACAGUCCUGCCAAAGAUAGAGUGGAAUUACUCUCCACUUCCACAGCAGCAGCCCCCGAAUCAGCCGCCAUCGGCAGCCAACAACGUAGUGUUCUGGCCUAAAACGUACGUGGUAGAGAAAAAUGAACCCCCGCAUGCACUUGGCUGUACAGGCAGCAACAAUGUGUGUAGCUGCAUGCGAAUCAGAAAAACAAAUACCAUAUAAUAAGAGAAACAAUGAAUGGACCCCUUAGCGACUGGGAAAUCCAGCUAUGGGCGAUAACAUACAUGAAACACUACCAUGGUUGAGUUGCUACUUACCAAGAAGGCUUCCAAAUUUGCGAGCCCGCUGGGCCAACUUUCACCAUCAAACUUGGGUUAAGGCGUAUUAUCGUCCAUUUCUCCAUGGCAUCUUCCUCUUGAGCGGUUAACGAAUCAAACGAUUGCCUGGAUAUAUAGUGAGCAAUUCUGCAAUGUUCAAACCUCCGAGUCCAGAUGCAACUUUGAAUAUUCUCUUGAUUGCUCAUGAAAUCCACAAUGGUGAGAAGAAUGCUAUAACCUCUCAGUUCCUUUGGAUCACUUCCAGGAGAUAAGAUGUUCAUUGGCGGCAACAAUAGGCACAAUUUCAUUUAACGUAUGUGAUAUAUAUAUAUCUCUUUAAGGAUAGUAUGUGGAUGCAGAGUUUUGAUGAAAAUGUAGGAAAAGAACGCAGAGCUUUACCUUCACAUGCUUUGUACCAUUUCAUUAUAAAUCGAACUGUGAAAGCAAGUUUUCUCUCAAAUCCAUUUCAAUAGGAUGCCAACUCAACUGCUUUCCUUUUUCAUACCUCAGCUUAACAAGAUACUCCUAAAUUCAAAGAUGAAGAAAUUAUUAUUGAUACAUUUAUCUUAGAAAACAAGCGAAUGGAACUUAAAACAAAAGAGAGUGGUGGAACGCUCAAUUACCGCUCAUCCGCAGUGCUCAACGUAAGAAUUACCAUUCUUGUGAAAUCCGUUGCACACCAGCCAACCACUUAUUCAAGUAAUAUCAUUUACUGGAAUAGCAACAAACACAAGCAUGACAACACUGCUACAAGGAACAAGAGCGCUGUUCAACCACUGUAUGUAUAAAAGCAUAUCUGCACCCAGAGUUGCCAUCUGCAUCAAUAAAGCCGACAAAUACGUUAGUCCCAUCGUGUUGUCCUUACUGAUUGCAUAGUUGAAUUACAUUGAUACAUAAAGGAAGAACAAAUUACACUCGAAGUGUUCAACUACUUACACUUAAAUCCGUAGGCGCAGCAGCCAGCCACCAAGUCUAGUCACAUGGGCAUUCUAGCAAGCGGUGCCAAUAAGCCAAGCUCUCUCCAACCAUUGUGUUUGUAGAGAAACAUAUGUGUAUGCACCUACCAAAAGAUGACAGAAGCGUUGAAAGAUGAGUAAGCAUUCCGCCGUAUGGAAACCACAGAAGUAUACAUAUACACAAGUACCUGAGUGGUUGAAGUAAGCUAACAUCGUUUCCCCCCGUGAUAAUCCUAUCUUUACAGUUCAAUAGUUUUCUCUCUGGACCGACGAAGUCCCACAUACAUUCAAUCUUUAUAUAGCUAUUCAAGAGAGCUAAGGUCUAGAGGUCCCUGUCCUGGAAGGAAUUGCGUGCGUGGGAGGCGUUGAAAGUCCAUUUCCACCCGAAAUAUUUCAUACUUUACAGUCCAGAAAAUCAGAGCCCCAUUUGAUAAUCCUAGCUUUACAGGUUCGCUUGCUCGCUGUGUCAAUGAAACCGAUAUAUCAGAAGAUUAGAGUCAUGUCGCAAACGAGAUAAGUAUGAGAAAAGCAUCAUCCAGGGUUUUACCUCUUGUCAUGCAGGAGAAUCAUAUAUAUCGACCUCUCCUGUAAUUUCACUCCCCUCGCAUUUGGCUGCACAGUCCUGCCAACAACAACUUCAACGCAGAAUAAUGCUUCUCCCUUUGCUACAGUCCUGCCAAAGAUAGAGUGGAAUUAUAUCCACUUCCAUAGCAGCAGCCUCCAAAUCAACCGCCAUCGGCAGCCAACGACGUAGUGUCAUGGCCUAAAAUGUACGUGGUAGAGAAAAAUGAACCCCCGUGUGCGCACUUGGCUGCACAGGCAGCAACAAAGUGUGUGGCUGCAUAUGAAUCAGAAAAAAAAUGAAAGGACCCCUUAGCGACUGGGAAAUCCUGCUAUGUGCUAUCAUGUACAUGAAGCACUACCAUGGUUGAGUUACUACUUACCAAGAAGGUUUCUAAAUUUGAGAGCCCGCUGCUCCAACUUUCACCAUCAAACUUGGGUUAAGGCUUAUCAUCAUCUAUUUCUCCACGGCAUUUUCCUCUAGAGCAGUUAACGAAUCAAAUGAUUACCUGCAUAUAUAGUGAGCAAAUCUGCAAUGUUAAGGCUAGCCGACAUUCACCUCUCCCAGACCCUGCGUAAAGCGGGAGCCUUGUGCACUGGGUACGACCGUUUGUUAACUUGCUACAUCACACACACUAAUAUAUAGAAAACAAACCUCCAAGUCCAGAUGCAACUUUGAAUAUUCUCUUGAUUGCUCAUGAAAUCCACAAUGGUGAGAAGAAUGCUAAUAUAUAGCAAACAAGCCGACAAAUACGUUAGCGUGUUGUCCUGACUGAUUGCAUGGUUGAAUUACAUUGAUCCAUAAAGGAAGAACAAAUUACACUCAAGUGUUCAACUACUUACACUGAAAUCUGUAGGCGCAGCAGCUAGCCACCAAGUCUAUUUACGCUGGCAUUCUAGCAAGCGGUGCCAAUAAGCCCUGCUCUCUUCAUCCAUGGUGUUUGUAGACAAAAAUAUGUGUAUGCAGCUACCACAAGAUGACAGAGGCAUUGAAAGAUGAGUAAGCAUUCCGCCAUAUGGAAACCGCAGCAGUAUAUAUAUACACAAGUACCUGAGUGGUUGAUGUAAGCUAACAUCGUUUUCCCUCUGAUAAUCCUAUCUUCACAGUUGAAUAGUUUUCUCUCUGGACCGACGAAGUCCCACAUACAUUCAAUCUUUAUAUAGCUGUUCAAGAGAGCUGAGGUCUAGAGGUCCCUGUCCUGGAAGGAAUUGCGAGAGUGGGAGGUGUUGAAAGUCCAUUUCCAUCCAAAAUAUUUCAAAAUUGACGGUCCAGAAAUCGGAGCACCAUUUGAUAAUCCCAUCUUUACAGGUUUGCUUGCUCGCUGCAUCAAUUAAACCGAUAUAUCUGUUAGUCCCAUCACAUCUACCAGAACAUUACAGUUAUGGUGCAAACGGACUACAAAAAAUUCUUGUACAAUCAGGAGUACUAAAUCAAAAUCCCAAACAGAGUUUUAAUCCAAACCAAAACUGGAUUACUCUUAUAAACAAAUUGAGACCUUAUCACUUUAUUCUAAUCUGAAAUAACUGAACCGUGUGAAUCAUAAUCACACUCUAACAGAAAGUGUUUCAAAUGCAUUAAAUAGGUCAAUACAAAGAGUACCACUUGUUGACAUUACUGAGAUUCCAAACCCUCCUGCAUCAGUUUCUAAAGCUGAACCAUAUGCAGAUAGACUUAGUCUAGAUUCCGUGAACACUGAAUUCAGCUUAACAGGCACUCAUAAGAGCUUCAAACAGAGGCUUGGAAUCCAAAACAGAAGCAAGAGAAGAUAUAACAAUAAGGAGAACCUGAGCAUGUCACAAGGAACAAACGAUAUUAAGGGGACCACUAGAUCACUUCAUAAAAGGUUCAGUAAACUAAAAUUAUCUGGGAAAACCAGUUUGAGAAAAGGUGGUUCAAGUUUAUCAGAGCAGGAGCCGAAGCAUAACAAUAUUGUGUCCAGCAUGACUUCUUUCAUUCCACUUGUUCAACAGAAACACGCAGCUGCAGUUGUAACAGGUAAUUUCUUACUAGUAAUCUUAACCUUUGAACUUUGGAUUUUGCAUUACAUGUACAUAUUCCAUAUGAUUGUUUUUCUGAGUGUGGAUCAUAAUUGUACGUCUAAACUGGGUUACAGUAUGGAUGAUGGUUUUAUUUUUACUGAAUUAGGGAAUGUUUUAUUUGGAGUAGUAAAUUAGCAAUGAAUGUCUGGGAUCAUCAAGUAAAAUUUAGAGUGCAUAUUUGAAAGUCCCAUGAAAGCUGAGUUGCCCCAUUGUCCUCCAUAAGUAUGUUAUAGGUGACUUCAUCUUGUCAUACGGAGCUUGACAGUGAUUCAUUUGUUUUUUUAUUGUAUCCUUGUGAAUUCUUGUGAGUAUUCUGGGAUAUUUUUCUUUGUUUCUUUUUUUCUCUCCAAUGACUUGAUUCAGUAUUUUGACCUAUUUGUGUUUUCUUGCAGGGAAGAGGGACGUCAAAGUGAAGGCCCUGGAGGCAGCUGAAGCUGCAAAGCGUCAGGCAGAAAAGAAAGAGAAUGAACGCAAGAUGAAGAAGGAAGCCUUGAAACUUGAGCGGUCAAGAAUGGAGCAGGAGAAUAUGAAGCAGUUGGAGUUGCAGAAGAAAAGGAAAGAAGAAGAGAGGAAGAAAAAAGAGGCAGAUAUGGCAUCAAAUAAGAGACAAAGGGAAGAGGAAGAAAGGAAGGAGAAGGAAAGAAAAAGAAUGCGUAUUGAAGCACGUAGAAACAAGAGAGAACAUGAAGACAAGUUACCUGCAGAAAAGGUAGAGAAAGAAAUGAAAACCCUGGCCAUUGUAUGAUUCUUUAUGGUCUGCCUCAUUUCAUUAUAUCUAUCUUUUUGCAAUGUUAGAUAUCACUUGUAUAUUGGGCUGUCUUGUGUAGGAUGGAAGAGGCCCUGGGGGUAAGGAAUCUAAGGAUGAAAUGGCAAAUAAGAAAAUGGAGGAAGAAAGGGGAUAUGACAAUAACAUAAAUAUUUCGGAGACUAAGCCUAGUACUUCCAGGAUUUCAAUAAGCAAUGCUGGAAAAGAAAGUAUUGUCCACGAAGAGUUCCACGAGGCUUCUAGUAAUUAUGGAUAUAAAGCAGAGGUAAAUGCAAAUGAUUUUUUAACAACCAAUACCCACCAUAUCUUAGGAUCUACUUGCAUAUAUUGAGUGCUUUCACUUGUGUAGGCUGGAGCAUGAUGAUAAUCCUCUGUUAAUGGAGUUUGAAAGUCCAGAUGCAACUUUGAAUAUUCUCUUGAUUGCUCAUGAAAUCCACAAUGGUGAGAAGAAUGCUAAUAUAUAGAAAACAAGCCAACAAAUACGCUAGUCCCAUCGUGUUGUCCUGACUGAUUGCAUAGUUGAAUUACAUUGAUCCAUAAAGGAAGAACAAAUUACACUCAAGUGUUCAACUACUUACACUGAAAUCUGUAGGCGCAGCAGCCAGCCACCAAGUCUAUUUACACUGGCAUUCUAGCAAGCGGUGCCAAUAAGCCCUGCUCUCUUCAUCCAUGGUGUUUGUGGACAAAAAUAUGUGUAUGCAGCUACCACAAGAUGACAGAGGCAUUGAAAGAUGAGUAAGCAUUCCGCCAUAUGGAAACCGCAGCAGUAUAUAUAUACAAAAGUACCUGAGUGGUUGAUGUAAGCUAACAUCGUUUUCCCUCUGAUAAUCCUAUCUUCACAGUUCAAUAGUUUUCUCUCUGGACCGAUGAAGUCCCAUAUACAUUCAAUCUAUAGCUGUUCAAUAGAGCUGAGGUCUAGAGGUCCCUGUACUGGAAGGAAUUGCGAGAGUGGGAGGUGUUGAAAGUCCAUUUCCAUCCAAAAUAUUUAAAAAUUGACGGUCCAGAAAAUCAGAGCACCAUUUGAUAAUCCCAUCUUUACAGUUUUGCUUGCUCGCUGCAUCAAUUAAACCGAUAAAUCUGUUAGUCCCAUCACAUGUACCAGAAGAUUACAGUUAUGGUGCAAACGGGAGAAGUAUGAGAAAUCAUCCAGGGAUUUACCUCUUCUCUUGCAGGAGAAUCAUAUAUAUUGACCCCAAGUAGUUCCACAGUAUCAGACUACAAAAAAUUCACUCCCCUUGCACUCUCCUGUAAUUUCAUUGGAAUUGGACUCUGAAACUCUAAUUUAAGCUGGAAUAUUGCUGAGGACAAUCAAUUUAAUAAUAAAUAAAAAAAGUACCUGGCUUUUGUCUUGAGAGUUGAGAGUUGAGAGUUGGAGAGAGUGAAAUGAAAGCUCAUAUGAUGGUGAUUUCAUCAUCUACGUUUAUGCAAGGAAUGCGAGCUAUGUUUCUCCAAUCUUUUCCCUUCUUGUUCCCAUACCUCCUCUUCAGAGAAGGACAACCCCGGAUCUUCAGAUAAGAAAGAGAUGCCGGCAAACCCUCUUUUGGCAGGAAUUUGAGACUCUCGCAGCCUGAAAUUUGUAACUGUUGAAGAGAAGUGAGGUGCUCAAGUCCCUUUCCGUCCAAAGAUUUCAGAUUCGAUACAUCAGAGAUUUCGAGAGUGUGAAGAGUGGCAGGGAGCAGCUGUUCAUUGAGCAACGUCUCCACCAGAUCCCAGUUAACGAUAGAUAAUGUUUGUAGAUUGGGAGGCAAACCCCCUUGUGCAAAUGACACCACAUUUGGAAGACACUCUAUCGACAAAUGUUGAAGGGCGGUGAGGGUGUGCAUUCGGUCCGGCAACAACUUCAAAUUCACGCAAUGGUCUACUGAAAAGUAAGUCAGGUUGGGAGUGGGCAAUCCUCCGUCAGGAAAAGAGACAAGAUUUGGAAGACUGCCUAUCAAUAACCUUUGAAGGGCGGUGAGGGUGUGCAUUCGGUCCGGCAACAACUUCAAAUUCUCGCAGUUGUAGACAUGAAAGAAAGUGAGGUUGGCAGUGGGCAAUCCCCCGUCGGGAAAAGAGACAAGAUUUCGACAUAUCUGGAUAUCCAGGUAGUUGAGAUGGCGGAGAUUUUCAUCUGCUCCUCCUUCAACUGAAAGAGAUUCCAGAUUCUGACAACGCAUUAUACGAAGAGAUGAAAGGUUGGGGAAAAUGCCCAAAGGGAACGACCUCAUCUCACCUGAUAGAAAUUCUAAUUUCUUGCAAUUUACUAUACGGAGUGACGUCAGCGUGGUGGGCAGACCAUUUGUAGGGAACGACAAGAGUGAGCAACAUUCAUAUAAUGUCAAACUUUGAAGAUGAUUGCUGUUGUGCACCAUUUGCGGCAACCACUCUCUCCCACCAUCAUCGUAAAUAUCAAGACUCUGAAGCGACGGCAGCGUCUCCGUCGACUCGAGUAACAAUGAGAGACCCGGACAUCCCUUUAUUGUCAGUUGUUCAAGAGAUCGUCGUAAGGAUUCCGUGUUCAGAGUAUUACUGGCCCUGUUUUCAUGUAGAACCUUACAUCCAUCGACCCAAAGGAUUUUCAAGGAAGGAAGAUGAGUGGGCAAGCUUCCUCUCAGCUUCGGACAUUGGCGUAACCUCAGCUCCUUAAGACGAGGAAAGCCUGGACUUUCACCUCCACUUGGACUUGGCUGCCAUUCUUCCCACUCUGGCAUCUCCCGAAACUCUAGCUUCUCUAAACAUUGAAAUGGUUGAUUUCCCCCGUACAACUCAACACCAACACUCUUAACAACUUUCAUCCUUUCUACGUAGAGCUCUUUCAGAGCAGGUAGCUGACCAACUAGUGGCAAUGAACUGCAAUUACUACAGUCAUUGAGACGCAUCACUUGUAAGUUGGAGAAGGACGAGUCUCCCACCCAAUUCGGGAAACUGAUUCCGCCAUAACACCUGACGGUUAGUUUCACCAAAUUUACCGAAGGCUGUAGUCUUUCGAGUACAUGUCUCUCUUUUACAAAAUCAUCGGAAACUUCAGGACCCCAUGCCAACUCUACCUCUUUGAGAUCUUUCUUAUCCUUCAACAACGCAUCAAUAGCACCGACUACAUUUUGCAGAUUCAAGAUGGAAAUUUUUCCUCCAAGGUGCGACAACUCCCUCAGUUCUCCAAUAUUGGACCCAGUAGAUUUCCCCAGCACAAAAGCUGUCAGUGUUCUCAAACUUUUUAGUCUACCCAUAUGCACCGGCAUCUCUUUUAUUUUAGUUCCACCAAUAUCAAGAUGACGCAAAUGAAUCAAUUUCCUCAUGUCUGCAGGCAAUUCAACAAGAGAAGAACAACCUAACAACAAUAGAGUUUGUAAAUUGUAGAGAGUACACACUCUAUCUGAUAACCUUUUAAUUGCCGUAUAAGAGAGAUCAAUGUAGCGCAAGUGCAUGUGGUUACCAAUGGAAUCAGGUAAGUGAGUGAUAUUCAUAUAUCUUGAUAAUGAAAUUGCCCGUAAACAUUUUUGUGCUGGCAAUAAAUCAUCUAGAAUCUUAUUGCUUACAUAUCCACCAUUCCAACUAUAAUGUGGUGGUAAAGACACUGGAAAGAAGGUACGCAAACACUUAACUCCUUUUAAUGGCUCAAAUAUUGGAGAUGUAUCAAAUUUUCCUCUCAUAUAUGACAAGUGGCGAACUUUUUUAGAAACUUCGUGCGAAUUUUUUUGAUCCAACCUCAAACAAAACUCUCCAGACACAAACAUAGCCAAGUCAUUAAUAAGAUCAUGCAUAGUGAAACUUGGUUUAUCCAAUCUUGGUCUUUGAAAUAGUGAACGCGAUAACAGUUCAUUAAAGUACCUUUCACCAACCUCCUCCAUUGCUUUCUUGCUCUCUAAUUGUGGAAUUAAACCUUCUGCCACCCAUAGUAGAAUAACAUUUUUCUUUUCAAACUCAUAGUCCUUUGGAAAGAUUGAGCAAUAAGCAAAGCAUCGUUUCAAGUAAGCCGGAAGAUAGUGGUAACUCAAUCUUAGAGAAGGAAGAAGACUAUUAGGGUGUGGCAGAUCCCAAAGAUUACUAUCCAAUAUGUGAUUCCACUCCUUGUAGUCUAGGUUGCAACUUAAGAGACCCCCUAGCGUUUUUGCGGCUAGAGGUAAACCGUUGCACUUACGUGCAAUUUGCUUACCAAUUUCAACCAAGUCUGGAUGUGCACCGGGGUUUUCAUUUCUAAAUGCAUGUUUUUCCAGUAACGACCAGCAGUCUUCAUCCAACAAUUCUUUUAAAUCGUGAAUAGGAAUAGUAUUGUGCACGAUGGCUGCAACACGCCUGCUCCUUGUUGUUACAAUGACCUUACUUCCCCUUGCCCCAUACGUGAAAAGAAUUCGUAGACGCUCCCAGUCAUCAUAGUUUUCAUUCCAAAGGUCAUCCAAGACAAGUAAAAAUCUCUUUCCACUCAGUUGUUCCCUUAGUUGAACUUCAAGGGAAUUCAUCUCCAAAUUUUCACAAGGCUUUUUAGUGAUUUCCUGAAUAAGGGCCUUAAUAACCCUCAAAGCCUCAUACUGUUCGGAAACACAAACCCAAGCAUGAAUGUCAAAGUGCUUUUUAACUCGUUCAUCGUUGAAAAGGAGUUGAGCAAGAGUUGUCUUACCAACCCCGCCCAUACCGACUAUAGGGACUACAGAAAAAUUACUGCUACUUUCAUUGUCAGAUAACAGCAGUAGAUCUUUUAACUUGUCUUUAUCUCCAUCCCUACCAUAGGUAUAAAAUCCGCCCUCAACAACAGAAGUUGUGGGAGUUCUUUGUGAAACAUUGCCUCCAACAACAUCUUCUCUAAGACGGAGGAUAUCUUUUUGAUUUGCAAGGUGUUCCAACUUCUUGAAUAAAACUUCUAUCCUACCAUUCAUGCCUUUAUAAUUAAAAGGUUUACGACAGGUAGAAAGGAAGUUCCACACCUGGGUUUUCUUAGUCUGAUCUUUCGCCUUGCGACGCGAAACUUCAGUAUCGAUCUCAUCCACCAAGUCCUCGGCCUCGAACACAGCAUGUUUGAGCUCAUCAAGCCACUUCCCGACGUCAGGGUCGACAAUCUGCUUCUCCUCAGCGUCGUUGAGCACUGCACGGAGAUUCACCAACUUCAUCUUCAGUGUGUCCAGGAGUGAAUAGUCGAGUCUUCCUGCCCGGAAGAAGUCUAUGAACUCUCCGGAGGCAAUCUUGUCGCACAGCAACUGGAUGGAACCGGAGAGCAAAGCCUCUCCAACGAAAGCCAUUUUCUCGUCUUGGCAAAAGGACUAAUUUUGAUCAAGUAUUUGGAGUUGACAAACUGAAAAUUAUUCUUGGCAAAGCCUGUAAGAUUACUUCAUGACUGGUGAGACGACUUGAUCUUUUUCUUGGUCAAUAAUGCAGUGGACCACACACGGCAAACAUAAAGUAUAAAGUGGUGGAAGUUGGGAAACGUUUCCAUCCAACAUUAAUUUAUUAAUUAUUUUCUUCCAUAAAAUAAUCGUUGUUGGUCAUGAACAUUGGUGGAGGUUGGAAAACAUUACAUCAACCAUUAAUUUAUUUAUUAUUUUCAAUGUGUCUAAAACAUUAACCGGUAUAUCAAGUAUAAUAAUACAAUUGAUCGAAAUUUUUUUUUUCAAGUUUCUAAUUCAAUUGUCUUAGUACACUUGGCAUAACAAGCCGUGUUCCUGACAUAUUGAUUAAUCUCCCCACACAUCAAGAGGCCUAAAAUAUAUCAAUCUUCUUACCCUUAGUAUAACGGUUAUAAUUAUUAUAAUUUAAAAAUGAUCCUCUUACUUGUAACCGUUAGAUGUGUUAGUGAGAAGGAUCUGCCCCUUACGCUCCGACCACACACGUCAAACAUAGAGUAGUAAUUGGUGGAGUUUGGAAAAACACAGUAAAAAGAGGGGUGUGCUAUCCACAUCUCUUUUUAUUUUUUCCACUCCUUGUUAAUUUUUGUAAUUUGAUAUUCUUUAAUUCAUCUGAUCCGACGGUGAAAAAUUAAAAAAAUAAGAAAAAUAAAAAAUAAUAUGUGGAUAUCACAUCCCUAAAAAGAAUCACGCAAUACAUUUGGAUCUCAACAUUUUUCCGUAUGAUAAGAUCACAUGUUCCCACCAUCGUCUUGUAACCAUCGUCUUGUCACCAUCUUGUCAUUAUUUCUACUCUGGUUCUAAUUCCAAGGGGAACAUCUUCGUGUGAAAAAUAAAGUAAAAGUUUCUGGCAGGACCUCAAUGUUGGGUUGAAUUUCUACAAUUAUUAUUUACAUUUUAUACUUUUAAUCUCAACCACUAUUAUACUUUUAAUCUCAACCACUUAUUUUCUACAACAUUCAUUAUCAUGUGCUAUGGGGAAAAAAAAAAUAAAAAUAAAAACUUGAAAAGUUUCUUGCUUUUUCUUGCUUUGCCUAUAUUUUCAACAUUAAUGGGACCAUUCGUGUUUACGAUUUGGUUUGCCUAUUCAUUCAACGUUCAUGGGACCAUUCUGCUUUGCCUAUAUUUUCUUGCGUUAACCAAUUUUGACUCAAAGUUAACAUGUUUUUGCACAAAACUAAUUAAGAACACACUCGAGUUCCAUACCUUAUAUUGUCAAAUUAUCGAAUUUGAUGCCGCAUAAUUAUACAAAAGUGCAUUUAGAUUAACAGUGCACUUCCUCUUUUACAUCUAAAUUUGAACCUCCAUUUUUAUCGCUAUAAUUUAUACGAGUUUAAUAUAAAUUAUCUUAUCAUUUAUUAAAAACCCCACUUCAUAAAUAAGUAGAUGCGAUAUGUUUAAAUGCAAAUCUGUAACAAAAACAAUGGAAAAGAAUAAGUACAGAUGUUUAUGGAUAGCAAAGGUCUCGAAAACAUAUAUACUCCACAAAAUCUAGCACGAGAGUAUUGAGCCUAGAUAAUAUAACCUCCUCCCCAAUACUAAUUUAUAGCUGAUUUAUUUUGUGGUUUAGCUAAAAUCACCAAUUCUCAUUAUCAUUGUACAAAUAAAUAAAUAAAGAGUAAAUAGUAGCAAUAGUUUCUUUAACUUUAAUCAAAUUGGUUAAAGUUAAGGGACUAUUGCUCCAAUUGAGUUAAAAUUAAAAGAUUAUUUCUCCAAUUGGAUUAAAGUUAAGAGAUCAAUGUUAAUGAAUUUUUAGUUGAGGGACCGCACGUUUUGAUGGGUUAAGGAACUAAUGAUAAUAGAUUUGUAGUUGAUGGACUAUUGCUCCAAUUAAGUUAAAGUUAAGGGAUCAUUGCUACAAUUUAUUCAUAAAUUAAACAAAGGUAAGAAGAGAUAUGAAAUAUUGCAGAAGAAUUGUUAUUGACACUCCAAAAAAAUCAUUAUGCAUUUGUGUAACAAAGUUAUCAAGGAUGGAUUGAGUGCACGAUGACUUUCUUUUGCUAAUAACAAAUUCCUAAAGUGGAUCACAUUAUUAAUAUUGCUUUUGGAAAGAAUUUCUGUUAUCUGCAUCUUCUACAUAUAUAAAGUCAAAAGGGAAAACAGGUGAAACAUUUAAUAUUUCAAAAUUGCCCCUUUUAUUACAGGUUAUAUAAGAGUAAAAAUGUAAGGACAUGAUGGUAAAACCAGGCAAAGGAGAGAAAGUGGAGGAAAAAACUAGAACAUGCUUACAGAAAGAAACUAUAUUUGAAGCAUCCGUUUGGUUGCCCAGCCCACAAAAAAAAUAAAAUAAAAUAAAAAUCCCACAAUUAAAUCUACAAACAACGGAAAUGUGACACUGAUGUUAGCAAACUUUUAUGGUCUUCAAUCUCGAUAAUUUAUGUGCACAUUGGAAUCCAUACUUCAUACUUCACUUGUUUUUGUUGAUCUCUUGUGAUAGGAUACUGUGUGAUAACUGAAUUGGUUGAUAAGUAAGCAUUGUAUUAGUGCUGACUAGGACAGAUAUGUAUGGUUAAAAAGGAUAAGGUUGUUAGUAGUAAGCUUACGGAGGAAGCUAACUAGCUACUAUAUUAGAAAGGAUUGUAAACGGAAGGGUCGUUGUUGUAAUUGUUGUUAAUUGUAAUAGAAAGUUACUUGUUACUGCUACAUAGAAGUCAAGAUGCAGAGUUAGGGUUCUAUCAUUGGUAUCACCGCCAGUGCAUUCGAUCCGGCUUGAUCCUUCUUCGUGUAUGACUCGGCUCGGUUCCAGACGCACCAUGGAAACGAGAGUAUCUCAGCUUGAGUCCCUAUUUGCUGAUUUCCAGAAGGAGUUCAAAGAUUCCAGGCAUGAAUUUCAAGAAUCAAGAACUGAAUUUCGAAAUGCCCAUGAGCUGAUUUUGCAGCAAUUGCAGGUGUUAUCGACGAGAGGUAGUGGGUUGAUGGGCGAAUCGUCGGAAGGGACACAUUCUGAUCACAAUUUACCGCCGGGAGUGAAUCCUCAGUUUGUUCGUCAAGAAUCGAUUCCGUCGCCUCGACAACCAUUUAUCAAGAUCGAUUUUCCCAGAUUUAGUGACGGCGAUGACCCCUUGGGGUGGAUCUACAAAGCAGAGCACUAUUUUGAUUUCUUCGGUGUCGAGGAUUUCAAGAAAGUAAAGAUGGCAUCAUUCCAUCUGGAUGGCGAACCUCUACAAUGGUUCCAAUGGGCUAAUUGUAUCCGGACAUACCCUAGGUGGGAAGAUUUCACUCAAGCUCUUUGUCAAGAAUUUGGUCCGUCGGAGUUCGACGAUUCGGCAGAAAGCUUGGUUAAACUUCGCCAAACGGGAUCUCUGCGUGAUUACAUCUUGGAGUUUCGAAGAUUGGCGAAUCGUACAAGGGAAGUUACCCCAUCUCUCUUGCGAUCUUGUUUCAUUGGUGGUCUUAAAUCGGAGCUGCGUCAUGAUGUCAAAAUCCUAAAGCCCAGAGACGUUCUGGAGGCCACUGCUUAUGCUCAACAGAUCGAUGCCAAGUUGUCUGAAUUAAAGGUCAAGUCUUUUCCUCGUUCAUCUGUUAAUUCUUCGUUUCGUCCUCCAUUACAGAAUGUUGCUGAUACUGUUGUGGGAAAUAACAAAUUCAAACAUGAAAAUGUGAGGCGAUUGACACCUGAAGAGGUCGAAUACUGUCGGAAACAUGGUCUUUGCUUCCAUUGUAAGGAAAAAUUUGUUCGCGGCCACACUUGUGAGAAGAAACAACUUUUAUUGAUUGAUGUUCAGUAUGGUAGUGAUAAUGAAGCCUCUGACAUUGAAAAUUUGGAACCUGAGAUUACAGCAUGUGCCCUUUUUGGUACCCCAGCUCCUAAGUCAAUUAAAACCAUGAAGGUUCUUGGUAGUAUUAGGAAUUGUCCGGUGGUAAUACUUAUCGAUUCUGGUAGUUCCCAUAACUUCGUGGAUUCUGUGUUGGUCAAGAAAAUCAAUGGACAAUUGAAUACAGAUCAUUCUUUUAGUGUCAAGAUUGCGGAUGGGGGCCAAGUCAAGACUACAGGUUCUUUAGGGGCUGUUUCACUCAAGAUUCAACAAGAAUCUACUAUAUUAGAAAGGAUUGUAAACGGAAGGGUCGUUGUUGUAAUUGUUGUUAAUUGUAAUAGAAAGUUACUUGUUACUGCUACAUAGAAGUCAAGAUGCAGAGUUAGGGUUCUAUCAUCUUGGCACAUCUAUACUAAAUUGUUUGGUGUUAGUCGGUUUGUUUGAUUCAUAUUUCAAUUUUGUAAGUAGCCAGAGUAUCUUAGGAAAUGAAAAUAUCAAAAAUAAAAUAAACAUUUGUAAAUAGUGUCAAGCGCAUGUAGUUAUAAAUUUGUAAGUCACACGUAGCAUGCCUGAUUAAAGGCCUUUAAUCCAUGUCCCAUUGUUAGCACGCCUGAUUAAAUGCCUCUAAUCCAUGUACCAAUUGUUAACAAUGAUAAACAACUAAUGCAACAUAUUUUAGGGGUGGGUAACGCCUGUGAUUAAAAAACCUUACGCGCAUGCAGAGAUGCUAGUUUAGAGUAAAUAAAGAAGACUGUACAUACGCAAAUGUGGGAUAAACUAGGGUUGGAUACGGCCAGGCCAAACUCAAAAUUGAAGCAGAUGGACCGGACCCGUUUGUAACUGAAAUGUGACGGGACAGUGCUGGUCUUGUUAGCUGAGAAAUGAAACCGGACUUAACCUGACUCGUUUGAAAUGAACCUGUUCCUACAGGUCCAAGGGUCAUUUUUUUAUAUAAAUUUUUUGUUAAUAAACUAUGACUGUUGUGCUUAAAGUAUAAGCUGGGUGUGCUUGAACAAAAUAGCUGUUGUGCUACAAGUAAAAGCACAAUAAAUUAUAGUGGAGUAGCCUACCAUCACUUUUCAAUUUUCAUAAGUUCCAAGUGAGCCGAAGGCAAAGGCUAACAGUCAGCCAAAAUGCCCAACUGAAAAUAUAGAAAAGAAAGUACACAAACAGCAAGUUACAAAAUGAUUGUCCUUUAAACCAAAUCAUGGUGACGCCAAAUUGCCACAAACCAACUUGCAAAUUUGAAUUCUUCAAAUCUAGAAGACAAUCUUAACUCCAUGCAACCUCCCUAAUAAAAUUAAAUCAAUCACAAAACCCUAAUAGCAAUUGAUUAACAUGAGAUUAAUAAAUUUCAUCGAAAAUCUAAUUAGAUAAUACCUUUAAAUUAACCACAAAAAUAACAAAACCGCAUCAAAAUCCCAAUUUUCAAUUCCACUGUAGAGAGAAAUCGAGUAGAUCCCCCAAUAAAAUGAAACAUGCAAAUGAGAAUUAAAUAAUUACAACUCAAAUUAAAAGCUUAUGCUUUCAUAGACAUCUGAAUUCUUGAAAAUUUACCCAUCUAGGCGGUAGCCCCAAUUAGUCGAAAUCGAUCGAGCAUGAGAGAUUUUCUUUCAUAGACAUUUGUUUUACUAGACAUUUGCUUUCAAACGAGCAUGAGAGACUCAUGUAGAACAAGAUAUGGAUUAAUUUUGAAGACAUCCAUCAUAUGGUAAAUUAUUAGAAUUGGAUAUCUACUUUUCCCUACAAUAAUAACUGGGUGUUGUUAUUGGAACUCAACUCACAAUCAAAAUAUAAUUAUCAUUCAUUUUUCUCUCUUCGUGGCCAAAGGACUAAUUUUGAUCAAGUAUUUGAAGUUGGGAAACUGAAACUACAUUUAUGUGCUCAUCUGAAAACCACAUUUAUUUGAUCACGUUUUCUUUCAUUACUUUUUUUUAUAUACAUUUUCUAACAUGCCAUUACAUAAUCUGAUCUCUUUUUAAUUGUAUUAUUGUAUCAGGUAAAAAAAACCACAUUUAUGGUAAGGACUUUAUGCAGAGCGGGCGGGAACCACCAAUAUUUUGGUGGUUCUGUCAAAUGCCUUAAUUGUUGCUGAAGAUUCAAGAGUUACAGCAUUUUAUGGUGAAAGUAAUAUUUCUUUAUCUUUAACUAACAAAUUGAUUAUUACUCGACUAUGUUUAUAGUAUAUGCAGUAUAUUAAUUGGUUCUAAUUUAUAUAUACAGUUCGACCCGAAGAAAAGAAAGUUAAACGCAUUUCUAAGAAUCCUCCAACACGAGCAACAUGAUGUCAUGAUCAAUGUGAUGCGCAUUAUAUGUUAGGACAUAUAUUCACAAGGAAGAUAUUAGAGUCCAUUAGGAGAGAGCAAUGCUUCUUUCCUUGCUUGGAAAUUCGCCUAUUUUUCCCUCUUCCACUUCACAAGGACUUGUAUCAGGAGGUUUGAAUGCAUUCAUAUUGAUCAUGACACCAUGUUGCUCGUGUUGGAGGAUUCUUAGAAAUGCAUUUAACUUUCUUUUCUUCGGGUCUAACUGUAUACAUAAAUUAGAACCAAUUAAUAUACUACAUAUACUAUAAAAAUAGUCAAAUAAUAAUCAAUUCGGUUGUUAAAGAUAAAGAAAUAUUACUUUAGCCGGAAUAUGAUGUAACUCUUGAAUAUCCAGCAACAAUUAAGGCAUCUGGCUGAACCACCAAAAUAUUGGUGGCUCCCGCCUGCUCUGCAUAAAGUCCUUACCAUAAAUGUGGUUUUCUUUGCCUGAUACAAUAAUACAAUUAAAAAGAGAUGAGCACACAAUCAAAUUAUGUAAUGGCAUGUUAGAAAAUGGAUAUAAAAAAACGUAAUGAAAGAAAACUAAAGACAGAAAACUUGGUUUUACUUACUGUCUUAGAGAUUUUCUGUUUAAUUGUUCUCAUCAAAUUGUUUGUCUACUUUCAUUUGGUCUUUUAUAAUGUAUAAGAUUGUGUUUGAAGGGGUGAAUAUACUGAUGAACUGAACGCAGUCAAACCUCAUGAUACAAGUCCGUGUGAAGUGGAAGAGGGAAAAAUAGGCGAAUUUCAAAGCAAGGAAAGAAGCAUUGCUCUCUCCUAAGAGGGAAAAAUACCGACUAUAGGGACUACAGAAAAAUUACUGCUACUUUCAUUGUCAGAUAGUGUUUUUAACUUUUCUUUAUCUUUAUCCCUACCAUAGGGACAGAAUCCUUCCUCAACUACGUAAGUUGUGGGAGUUCUUUGUGAAACCUUGCGCCCAAUACCUUCUCUAAGACCAAGGCGAUUUCGCUGUUCUGCAAGGUGUUCUAACCUCUGAAAUAACUCCUCUAUCCUACCAUUCAUGCCAUUGUAAUUAAAAGGAAUACGAGAGGUAGAGAGGAAAUUGCACACCUGGGAAUCAGAAAACACAUUCAUCAGGAUUUGAACCCAUGGGAAUCCUGCAAGGUGUUCUAACCUCUGAAAUUAUAAACCGAUUAAAGUUUCAGCAACAAGGAGAUUACUCAAUCAGAAAACACAUUCAUCAGGAUUUGAACCCAUGGGAAUCAGCUGUAAUUAAUAAUUAUCAAUAAUUAAAAGUAAUGAACCAGAAAUUCUAGCAAAAAUAAUUCGCAAUUGCAGAAAUACAGUAAAAUCUGCAUUCCAAUCAAACAGAGGGCAUGGAAAAUCGAAGUGUGGAUGGGAAUUUACAGACCUGGACGAGCUAAACUAAAUUUCAGGCCUAACUAGUAACUACAUUAUUCAGACACAAUCCAAAACAAUACUGCUAUGUUAUAUAUUCUAAACAAAAUUAGCUUACUGUAACUCAACCAUUGAAGCCCACCAAUUAGGGCUGGGUUCGGUUUAAAACGGUUCGGUUUUUUGCCAAAACCGAAACCGAACCGAAAUUUCGAUUCAGUUCGGUUCGGUUAUUUUUUUUUUCGGUUCGGUUUUUUUCGGUUUCGGUUUUUUCCGGUUCGGGUUUCGGUUUUUUCGGUUUUUUUUUUCUUUCAAAAAAUGAUGUAAAUAAUGGAAGGAGCUUACCUAUCAACCUCCCAAUUCUCAUAUAUCAGAGAAUUGAGAACCUCAAAAUCCUGAAUAUAACUUUAAAAUUUGCAAAAUCAUGAAAUAAUUCAACAAAUUAACUGAUGCAGAUCAAAAAAAAAAAAAAAAAAAGCAAAUGGGUUCGUCUAAAUGCCAUAAUCGAACUCCAAUAUCACAUGUCCAGUGCCCAUAUUCAAAUUCAUAGUCUAGUCCACAAUAGAUCUAGAAAAUUCCAAAACAUAUUCAGAGAAAAAUACAAACUUUUCCACCUUAAAUUACAUAAAUUUCAAAUGGGUAACCUAAAAUUAAAAACCCAUAAACUGAAAAAUAGAUAAAACCCACAACCUUUGCUGCAGCGAUAUCGCAGUGAUCGUCGCAAGCUCUUACAAUUCCUCUUUUCGUCGGGUCUCGAAAGGGGCGAGGGAAAAUCAUUGUUUGGAAGAAAGAAUCCACGAGGAGGACAAGAGAAGACUAGAGAGAGUGAUUUGGAGGAAGAGAGGAAGGAGAGGGAGAGAGAGAGAGACUGAGGAAGCAGAGAGGAAGCCGCGGCGGGGAGAGAGACUUUGAGAUCUGAAAAUGAAAUGGGAAUGGGACACUGACGACUAGGGUUUUAAGCUUAAGAAAUUUUAUAAACCAUUCAAUAUAAGAAACCUAUAAAUAAUAUACUAGUACAAUUAUAACAAUAGAAAGCCUACAGUCAAGUUGGCUGACAGUACCUAAACCCAACCUACAGGUCAGGGGUUCGAACCUUGAUGCUAACAUAUUUUUUAGUAUUUAUAUAUAUAUUUUUUUUCGGUUCGGUUUCUAGACCUCAAAAACCGAAACCGAACCAACCAGAUUCGGUUCGGUUCGGUUUGGCAGUUUCGGUUCGGUUUUUUUCGGCCUCGGUUCGGUUUGGUUUUCGGUUUUUUUCGGUUUUCGGUUAUUUGAACCCACCCCUACCACCAAUCCCCCUAUAAUCCAAAACAACACUUCUCUCCGUGCUUGGCAAUUGCAGCCAAUCCAUCCCCCUAUAAUUCGUGCAGGUCCUAUUUCCCCAUCCCCUAUAAUUUUAUUCCACAAAUUCGUGCACCCACCCUCCCAAAGACCUGCAGGUCCUGCACUGCACCCACCCUAAACCGGAACCCAUCCAACCUGAAACCCUCCCAAAAACCUGCACCCAUCCUAAUCCGAAACCCACAGUCCUCAAACCCUCACACAUUCGACAAAAUGCUCAGAAAUCAAGUUAAUCAACAUGAAAUUUGACCCUAAACCCUAAAGAAAAGCCCAGCUUACCUGGAUUUUGGGUCUCGAUUCGUGUCAGAUUCGCAUCUUCCUGCGUCUGUGUGUGUGGCCGGAUGAGCGUCGUUGAAGUGAACGGAGGAGCGGCGUUCAAACUGGACGGGCUUGACGGAGGACGGGAGGAGCGCUGGAGCGCCGUUUGACCUUUGUUCUUCGAGAGAGAGUGAGUGAGCGAUUGAGAGAGAGAGAGGGACCUAACUUACAAUGGUCAUUAGGAUUUAAUCUUAACCAAUCUUACGGUGCAAGUAAUUUCUAAUUAUAAAUUAAAAAUAUAUAUAUUUAUAUAUAUAAUAUUUGGUUCGGUUCGGAAUGACUGAACAGUUUCAAAGAUGAGGCUGAAUCCCAAACCAAAACAUUUCGGUUUCGGGUACCGAAUAUUUCGGGAAAUUUUCGAUCAAAAUUUGGGAAGGAUUAGGGACGGUUUGGGAUUUUCAAGAAAAAAUUCCAUUCCUAUAAAUUUGAAUCACUAUUCUUAUCUCUGUAAUUUAGAUGAGUUUAUUAUAAAUUAUCUUAUAUUUUGUUAAAAAAUCCAUUUCAUAAAUAAGUAGAUGUGAUAUGCUUAAAUGCAAAUCUGUAACAAAAGCAAUGGAAAAGAAUAAGUACAAAAACGGAAUCGUUGCCUUUUAUCUCUAGGUAAAAUAGAGCACCAAGAUGGUCAUCAAAGAGGUUUUGAUUACGACUGCCCACUUCACCUUCUACGAAUUCAACAUCAAGGACAAUCAAUGGGUUCGUUUCCCGAAUCGUAACUUCCAGUUCUCCAUUUGGUUGCCCACAGAAAAAAAACCACAAUUAAAUCUUCAAACAACGGAAAUUUGAAGCAUAAAGUGAGAACAAAUAGGUCGAAAUGUGACACAGAUGUUAGUAAACUUUAUGGUCUUCAAUCUUGAUAAUUUAUGCACACAUUGGAAUCCAGACUUCACAUAUUCGCUUAUAUUUGUUGAUCUCUUGGCACAUCUAUACUAAAUUGUUUGGUAUUAGUCAUUUUUUUAAUUCAUAUUUCAAUUUUGUAAGUAGAAAAGGUAUAUUUGUAAAUGAAGAUAUCAAAAUAAAAUAAAAAUUUGUAAUUGCGCCAAGCACAUGUAAUUAUAAAUUUGUAAGUCACGCGUAGCACGCCUGAUUAAAGAUCUCUAAUCAAUGUACCAUUGUUAGCACACUUGAUUAAAGGCCUCUAAUCCAUGUACCAAUUGUUAACAAUGAUAAAUAACUAACGCAACACAUUUUAGGGGCGGGUAGCGCUUGUGAUUAAAAAAAUGCCUAACGUGCAUGCAAAGAGGCUAGUUUAGAGUAAAUAAAGAAGAUUGUAAAUAUGCAAAUGCGGGAUAAGUUAAGUGUGGAUAUGGGGUAGGCUAGACUCAAAAUUGAAGCAGACGGACCAGACCCAUUUGUAAAUGAAAUGUUGCAGGGUAGGGCGGGUCUUGUUAGUUGAGAAAUGAAACCAGACUUAACCUGACUCGUUUGAACGAACCGGUUCCUACAAGUUCAUGGGUCCUUUUUUAUAUAUAUAAUGUUUGUUAAUAAGUUAUGACAGUUGUGCUUGAAGUAAAAGCUGGUGUGCUUGAACAAAAUAGCUGUUGUGCUCCAAGUCAAAGCACAAUAAAUUAUAAUGGAGUAGCUUACCAUCACUUUUCAAUUUUCACAAACAGCAAGUUAGGCUAUCUCCAACCGAGGGCUGGUCAGAUGGCUCGUUUUAGCCAUCUGACCCUCAAAGAUAUUAAGGUCAUCUCCAACCGAAGGUUGGCCAGUAGGCUCAUUUUAGCCCUCUGGCUUUCCAAGAUAUUAAUAUUUUAAUGAAUAGUACAAGGCCAUAUUUGCAUCAAUCUCCAACUGAGGGCCAAAGGCCCGGAGGGCUCAUUUUAGCCCUAUCACAAAAAACUUAGCCCUUGGUUGGAGACGGAUUUCGGGCUAUUUUUGGCCCUCUGGACAGGCCAUCUCCAACCAAGGGCUGGCCAGAGGGCUCGUUUUAGCCCUAUGGCCCUCCAAGAUAUUAAUAUUUUAAUGAACAGUACAGAGUUAUAUUUACCUUCAUCUCCAACCGAGGGCUAAAGGGCCAUAGGACUCGUUUUAGCCAUAUCACGAAAAAUCGUCUCCAACCGAAAGCGGUCGGAAGAGGCAGAAACGCCUCUGUGAGUCUUUCUAACCCCUGAAUGGGUGGAUAUGGCUAAGCCAUUAGCUAGUCUCCUUUUUAAUAAGAUAAAAAUAUAUAUAUACACACACACACACAUUUGCUACACCAACUAGUAUAGGUAAGUCCACAUUAGGCUAGGUUACAAAAUUUAAACUUAAAAGCCGCAGACUUGGGUGGCUAGAGCAAUGUGGUUCGAAUCCUUGUUUUCAUAUCCAUAAUUUAGCUAAAUUUAGUGUGGAUCAUCUUAUCGUUUUUUCAUAAAUCCCGUGUAACGAAUAAUUCAAUGUGAUAUGUUUAAAUGCAAAACUUGAGCGAAACACAGUGAAAUGAUUAGAAACUAUCUCCACCACAUAUCUGUACCAAAAACAAUGGAAAAGAACAAGUACAAAUGUUUACAUGAGAGAAGUUGUAAGGACUUGGAUUGUGAGGGUCAUCUCCACUUUGAAAGUAAUAGCUGAAAGUUGGAGGUUCAUGCAGAUUAAACCAUUCGCCAUUGAUGAACACCUCAAAAGAGCGAAACCAGCCCUGCUGAAACUUUUAAGUACAAAAUUAAAAAAUAAACAGUUCAAAGAUCCGACUUUGAUUUGCAUCAAUGAAAGUUGCAACGAAUGCGAACUAUAUUGCCUCAAUCUUUUCAAUUCAUAUUCUUUGCACACCUCUUCUUCAGAGAAGAACAAACUUUUUGGUGAUAGAUGGCGGGAAAUCCUCUUCUGGCAGGAAUGCAAGACAAUCGAUGAUGCAUAGCUGAGCUGAGGUCCUUCUCCGGGCAGGAAUUCCGAGAGUGCGUGGUGUUUUGAUCCACAGAUUUCAAACUUGAUCGUCCAGACGGUGUGAGUGGAAGAGAGCCGCUGUUGUUUGAGCAAUGUCUCCAACAGAUCCUCACGUCCCCUGAUCUGAAAUUCUCCAAGGGAGACAUAGCACAGCUCGAUUCCACUGUUAAAAAAUACCCGAUAUUAUAAAUGCAAAUAUAGACAAGGCAAAAUGAAAAAAGCAAAAGAAAAGGAAGGUAAAUUACAAUUUACAAAUCAUCAGUGUUAAACCGAGAAUCGAUAUUUAUCCUUCUGGUGAAAUCUGUAGCGGAACAACCAGCCUCCUUGUCAGCCUCCUUGUAUGGUAACGCAAUGUACUGGCAUUCAUCCAAACACAGUUAAGUGGUGCUAAAUACAGAUUAGUGUCAAAUUAACUUUGAAGACAAUCAAUUCUGUUGGAAAAUUUGAGGACAAUCAAUUUAACAUAACUACAGAUAAGUGGUACUAAAUACGUACCAGGCUUUGUCUUGAGAGUUGAGAGUUAGAGUGAAAUGAAGGCUCAUAUGGUGAUUUCAUCAUCUAUCCUUAUGCAAGGAAUACGAGAUAUGUUUCUCCAAUCUUUUCCCUUCUUGUUCCGAUACAUCUUCUUCAGGAAGGACAACCCCAGAUGCUGAGAUGAGAAAGAGAUGCUGGCAAACCCUCUUUCGGCAAGAAUUCAAGACUCUCGCAGCUCAAAAAUUCGUAGCUGUUGAAGAGAAGUGAGGUGCUCAAGUCCCUUUCCGUCCAAAGAUUUCAGAUUCCAUACAUAAGAGAUCCAGAGAGUGGGGAGAGUGGCAAGGAGCAGGUGUUCAUUGAGCAACGUCUCCAGCAGAUCCUUGUUUCCUUCGAUCUGAAAUUAAUUGGCUCCUGUAGGAAGAUUUAGUAUUAACCACCCACCAUAAAAUGAACUUAAAGGUAGUCAUUACAGAACAAAGCACACUAUGGUUCAUGAGCAAACUUAAAAGUAAUCAUUACAACUUAUGACUAUUACUAAGUUAAAGUUUUUUAGGGUGUCAAAGAUUCGCCUCAUCAAAAUCUUGUGGGAGAUUUCAACCCAGUUGAAGAAAAAAGAGUACCACACACCAACAAACUACAAGUUAUGACUAUCUAGCUUGUAUUAAUUAAAACAUCCAAAAUAAUGUCCAGGGGAGUCUUCAAACUAUAGCAACUCUUGAUAUCAUGCAAGUCUAUGUGCAACAUUUUUUGGCCUCUCGUCUCACAUAAUAUUGGACCAAACGCAGAAUAAUCCUUCUUCUUUUGCUACAGUCCCGCCAAAGAUAGAGUGGAAUUACUCUCCACUUCCACAGCUGCAGCCGCCAUCGGCAGCCAACGACGCAGUGUUCUGGCCUAAAACGUAUGUGGUAGAGAAAAAUGAAACCCUACGCGAGCACUUGCUGCAAUGCAGCAACAAAGUGUGGCUGCAUACGAAUCAGAAAAACAAAUACUAUAUAUUAAGAGAAACAAUGAAUGGACCCCUUAGCGACUGUGAAAUCCUGCUAUGUGCGAUAAUGUACAUGACGCACUUCCACGGUUGAGUUGCUACUUACCAAGAAGGUUUCUAAAUUUGAGAGUCCAUUGCUCCAACUUUCACCUUCAAACUUGGGUUAAGGCGUAUCAUCGUCAAUUUCUCCAGGGCAUCUUCCUCUAGAGCGGUUAACGAAUCAAAUGAUUGCCUGCAUAUAAAGUAAGCAAAUCUGCAAUGUUCAAAAAAAAUUUGCUUCGUUUGUUAACUUGCUAUGCGAGUCACACGACAUCACACACGCUAAUAUAAAGAAAACAUUGCAUAUUCUCUUGAUUGCUCAUGAAAUCCACAGUCGUGAGAAGAAUGCUAUAACCUCUCAGUUCCCUUGAUCACUACCAGGAGAUAAGGUGUUCAUUGGCGGCAACAAUAGGCACAAUUUUGUUUAAGGUAUGUGAUAUAUAUAUAUAUAUAUAUAUAUAUAUAUAUAUAUAUAUAUACACACAUAUAUAUAUAUGUAUGUAUGUAUAUUCUUCUUUAAGGAGAGUAUGUGGAUGCAGAGUUUUGAUGAAAAUGUAGGAAAAGAACGCAGAGCUCUACCUUCACACGCUUUCUACCGUUUCAUUAUAAAUCGAACUGUGAAAAGCAUGUUUUCUCUCAAAUCCAUUUCAAUAGAAUGCCAACUCAACCACUUUCCUUUUUCAUACCUCAGCUUAACAAGAUACUCCUAAAUUCAAAGAUGAAGAAAUUAUUAUUGAUACAUUUAUCUUAGAAAACAAGCGAAUGGAACUUAAAGCAAAAGUGAGUGGUGGAACGCUCAAUUACCGCUCAUCCGCAGAGCUCAACAUAAGAAUUAUCAUUCUUGUGAAAUCCAUUGCACACCAGCCAACCACUUAUUCAAGUAAUAUCAUUUACUGGAAUACCAACAAACACAAGCAUGACGACACUGCUACAAGGAACAAGCGCUCUGUUCGACCACUUUGUCUGUAAAAAAGCACAUCUGCACCCAUUCGAAGAUAAGAAUGACAUCAAGAGAAGAUGAAAAGGCAUGUCUCCCAUACUCAAACUAUAAACAGUAUUAGAAGAAAAAAACAUCAUUCCAGGGAUUACCUCGCCGAUUAAAGGAGAAUUAUAUUCAUGCCAGAUAACUGGAGCUAGCACCAUUCAAGGACAACCAAUUGAUGCAUGUUUAAAUCGUUGGCUGUAGAUAAUCCUAUCUUUACAAGUCCAGAGUUGCUAGCUGCAUCAAUAAAGCCGACAAAUACGUUAGUCCCAUUGUGUUGUCCUGACUGAUUGCAUAGUUGAUUUACAUUGAUACAUAAAGGACGGACAAAUUACACUCAAGUGUUCAACUACUUACACUGAAAUCUUUAGGCGCAGCAGCCAGCCACCAAGUCUAGUUACAUUGGCAUUCUAGCAAGCGGUGCCAAUAAGCCAUACUCUCUCCAACCGUUGUGUUUGUAGAGAAAGAGAAACAUAUGUAUACGAACCUACCACAAGAUGACAGAGGCACUGAAAGAUGAGUAAGCAUUCUGCCGUAUGGAAACCACAGAAGUAUAUAUAUUAUACACAAGCACCUGAGUGGUUGAUGUAAUCUAUCAUUUUCCCUCUGAUAAUCCUACCUUUACAGUUCAAUAGUUUUGUCUCUGGACCGACGAAGUCCCACAUACGUUCAGUCUCUAUAUAGCUGUUCAAGCGAGCUGAGGUCUCGAGGUCCCCGUCCUGGAAGGAAUUGCGGGAGUGGGAGGCGUUGAAUUGAAAGUCCAUUUUGUAACGCCCCGAUCCCGAUAUACGUUCACGAUCGACACGUGACGUCACCAAAUACCUGUAUCUCAACAUACCCCGCUUCCAGGAUAUGGCAAAUCACAACUCGAGAAUCGAAUCGCAUAGUAAUUUUUUUGUAUACUUUAUGGCUGCAUCUAACAUCCUCGUUAGACUGCAUACGUAUCCUCAAUAGGGAUCAAGCCAUUUGUAGUUCAUCUUUCACUGCACUUGAACAAUCAUCGUUUAAAUCUCUAUGUCUCAACAUAAUACCACGAUUCAGAUAUGCAACAUAUCAAGGAAUAUUCGACGAAGCACAAUAAUAUUCUCUAGUCAUCUUAUCAUUUCCACACACAUAAGCUUUCAAACCCCAUUCAAUAAUCACAGCAAUCAAUAACACAUACAAUACAUCAAAAUGCAGGGUUAAAGCGACACCGUUCGGCUGAAGCCUACAUCUCUGAAGUUGAAAUCAAAUCCAAUGAACCAACAAGUCAAAUACUACGAUUUCGGACCACUCAACGAAGUCCAUCAACAUCGGGUUUCGGACCACUUAACGAACUCGCGGAGUAUAAGGGAUUUUGAACCAUCACUCAACGAAGUCCAUCAACAUCGGGUUUCGGACCACUCAACGAACUCGCGGAGUAGAAGGGAUUCUGAACCAUCACUCAACGGAAUCCAAGUGGAUACGAUUCCAGACCAUCACUCAAUGAAAUCGCGAAGUAGAAGGGAUUCCGGACCAUCACUCAACGGAAUCCAAGUGGAUACGAUUCCAGACCAUUACUCAAUGAAAUCGCAAAGUAGAAGGGAUUCCCGACCAUCACUCAACGGAAUCCAAGUGGAUUCAAUUUCGGACCAUCACCCAACGGAAUUGCAGAGUAGAAAGGAUUCCGGACCAUCACUCAACGGAAUCCAAGUGGAUACGAUUCCGGACCAUCACUUAAUGGAAUCCAAGUGGAUACGAUUAUGAACCAUCACUCAAUGGAAUUGCGAAGUAGAAGGGAUUCCGGACCAUCACUCAACGGAAUCAAAGUGGAUAUGAUUAUGGACCAUCACUCAAUGGAAUCGCAAAGUAGAAGGGAUUCCGGACCAUCACUCAAUGGAAUCCAAGUGGAUACGAUUCCAGACCAUCACUCAACGGAAUCACAGAGUAGAAGAGAUUCCAGACCAUUACUCAACGGAAUCCAAGUGGAUACGAGUCCAGACCAUCACUCAACGGAAUCACAAAGUAUAAGGGAUUCUGGACCAUCACUCAACGGAACCCCAGCGGAACCUAGUUCGGGACACUUAAUGAAACCGAGCGGAAGUCCAAAGAACAUAUCAACGACUCAAAGAAACAAGACAUGAAUCAAGUUACUCAAGUUACAAAGGCUCAACGAAAUGAAACAAAGCACAAGUAUUAAAUGUAGAACGGCUCAACGAAACGAGAAAUGAAAUAAUGAACCGAGGGGUGAGACAUGUAUCGAAGCAACAAACCCCAUGACGAUGGGUUAACAGUCCACUACUAACCUUCACAUUUCAUCACAUCAAUCCAAUUAUACAAAACAAACCAUAUUUCCAAUAUGCACGUCAAAUCACAAUUAAUAAACAUAGAUCGAUGCUAAAAAUAAAAAUAACACUUCAAUAGAAAGCACAUUUAAUAAACAAGUAUAACUCAAUAUGGUGCCACCAAUACAUAUAUCGAGACAUGUUAACCGAGAACAACACGUCAUCGUGAUAAGCCAACUAAGUUCCAUCACGCCUCAACAACAAACUAGAGAUAAACGACACUCUAGAGUAUAGCAUGUUGACUAGAACGUCAACCGUCGAUAAGGUAAGUCCAUUAAGAUCAACAAUCUAAGGUUAUUCAAUCCGGAAGAUCCGCACAUCGGAUUUCCAAUCCGUAAGUUCUCAAAGGUCCAACAACUGAUAACUAGGGUGCUUACAAAAUUGUACGACGAUCCAACGAUCGAAUUGUCGUCAAUACAAACAAGUGGUGGUCCAAUUUGAUCACCACACCAAACAAUUGAAUUUCAGGAAACCGAGCUAGACGUAGGUUCAUAGGGUCACUAGAAGGUAUUUGGUACUUAGACAACACUCGUGGACUGUCCCACGCACCUCUACAC